CCCCUUCCCCCCCCCCAUCUCUCUCGCCAGAGUAUGGAAUCUCUCAGAGUCUGGAAGAUUUGGUGAUGAGCUUCAGAUACAGUUAAUGGGAGAGGCAAAGAACAGGCUGCAUUAAAUGUCAUAAAGGAAACGUAAAAGCAAGAGAUAUGCCUCACAUGCAAAUCAAGGAUCCUGAGGAGAACCAUGUGGUUUCGUCUGUUCAACCUAUUCUUCAAACCUUGGAUACUGCAAAAGAGAGCAUAGCCAGGAGGAGAAAUGGCAGGAGACGAGGAGGAAAAGGACUCAUAAUGGAAUCCAAGAAGAUGUUAUUAUCAGAUGCUAAGUUUGAUUCAACUAUGGGGACUCCUCCUGCUUCAUGCAAAAGCCUUUUCAUGUUUCAUCGCAGGCCUGGCUAUGGCCAGCUGGGGACAAAGUGCAUGGUUAAAGCCAACCAUUUUCUCGCUGAGAUACCCGACGCAGACUUGAGUCACUAUAGUGUAGAAAUAACCCCAGAAGUUACGUCUCGUAAACUGAGCAAGGCUAUCAUGACCCAGUUGGUAAAACUGCACAGAGAAACUGACUUAGGAAUGAGGCUACCUGUUUAUGAUGGAGGAAGAAACCUUUACACAGCAAGAUCACUGCCUUUUUUCUCCAAAGACUUCACUGUAACUUUGGUUCACGAAGAGGAGGCAACAGGCAAUCUCAAGAAAAGAGAAUUUAAAGUGACAAUAAAGUUUGAAGCUCUUGCUAGUAUGCUGCAAUUAAGGGAGCUUUUUUCCGGAAAACCAGUCGAUACCCCUCAAGAAGCGAUUACUAUUAUUGACAUUGUACUAAGGGAAUUUGCAGCUCAAAGGUACGUAUCAAUUGGAAGGUCCUUCUAUUCUCCUGAUAUCAAGAAACCACAGCAGAUGGACGGGGGUUUAGAAUCAUGGCGGGGCUUCUACCAAAGUAUAAGGCCUACUCAAAUGGGAUUGUCACUGAAUAUUGAUAUGUCGGCUACGGCUUUCAUUGAACCACUCCUUGUUAUUGAUUUUGUUGCUCAAAUUUUGUGCAAAGAUGUGUGUAAAAGGCCAUUAUCAGAUGCAGAUCGCGUUAAGGUCAAGAAAGCCCUUAGAGGUGUCAAAGUAGAAGUUACCCACAGAGGAAAUGUACGAAGAAAAUACCGAAUUUCUGGGUUGACAACGCAGCCUACAAGAGAGCUAAUCUUCCCUCUCGAUGGGCACAUGAACAUGAAAUCAGUUGUUGAGUACUUUCAAGAGAUGUAUGGCUAUACCAUUCAGUAUCCCCAUCUUCCUUGCCUUCAAGUAGGAAACCAGCGGAAGGUGAACUAUUUACCGAUGGAGGCUUGCAAGAUAGUCGAGGGACAAAGAUAUACAAAAGGGCUAAAUGAGAAGCAGAUCACUUCUUUGCUAAAAGUUUCGUGUCAAAGACCCCGUGAUCAAGAAUCAGACAUUUUACAGACAAUUCAACAAAACGGGUAUGACCAAGAUCCGUAUGCAAAAGAGUUUGGCAUCAGCAUAGACAGCAAGCUUGCAUCAAUUGAGGCUCGAGUUCUACCAGCUCCAUGGCUGAAGUACAAUGAUACUGGAAAAGUAAAAGAAUAUCUUCCUCAAGUUGGUCAGUGGAAUAUGAUGAACAAGAAAGUGAUAAAUGGAAGCACUGUAAGAUAUUGGGCUUGCAUCAACUUCUCGCGAAGUGUCCAAGAAACCACAGCUCGAGGUUUUUGCCAACAGUUGGUUCAGAUGUGCCAAAUCUCCGGCAUGGAUUUUAACUGCGAACCUAUAAUUCCAAUAUAUUCAGCAAGACCUGAUCAGGUAAAGAAGGCCUUGAAAUAUGUGUAUCAUGCUGCUGCAAAGAAACUCGAAGGGAAAGAAUUGGAGUUGCUUAUUGCAAUUCUUCCCGACAACAAUGGCUCAUUGUAUGGUGAUCUAAAAAGAAUUUGUGAAACUGAUCUGGGGUUGAUUUCCCAGUGCUGCCUUACCAAACAUGUCUUCAAGAUUAACAGACAAUACUUGGCAAAUGUGUCACUCAAAAUCAAUGUUAAGAUGGGAGGAAGAAAUACUGUGCUUUUGGAUGCUUUGAGUUGGAGAAUUCCUUUGGUUAGCGAUAUCCCAACCAUAAUUUUUGGGGCUGAUGUAACACAUCCAGAGUCAGGAGAGGACACUAGUCCAUCAAUAGCUGCUGUUGUAGCCUCCCAAGACUGGCCAGAAGUUACAAAAUAUGCCGGGUUAGUAUGUGCUCAGCCUCAUCGGCAAGAACUUAUUCAAGAUUUAUUCAAAACAUGGCAGGACCCUCAACAGGGAACUGUUGCUGGAGGCAUGAUCAGGGAGCUCUUACUUUCAUUCAAGAAAGCCACUGGGCAAAAGCCAUUGAGGAUAAUAUUUUACAGGGAUGGUGUGAGUGAAGGCCAGUUCUACCAGGUUUUGUUGUAUGAACUCGACGCAAUUCGAAAGGCUUGUGCAUCCCUGGAACCCAGUUACCAACCUCCAGUAACAUUUGUGGUUGUCCAAAAGCGGCACCAUACUAGACUCUUCGCAAGCAAUCACAACGACAGAAAUAGCACUGACAAGAGUGGAAAUAUUUUACCUGGCACUGUGGUGGAUUCUAAAAUAUGUCAUCCGACAGAAUUCGACUUUUAUUUAUGUAGUCAUGCUGGAAUCCAGGUAUGCUGUUGAUUAUGUUUAUAUAUACACACACUCUGAAGCUUAACAGUCUCAGAUUAAAAAACAAAAAAUUGAGAGUCAAAUAAAAUAAAGAUUUGUCUACAUUGGAAUUGAAAAAUUGACAGGGCACCAGCCGGCCUGCUCAUUAUCAUGUGCUCUGGGAUGAGAACAACUUCACUGCAGAUGAGAUUCAAUCUCUGACAAAUAAUCUCUGCUAUACGUAAGAAAUUCAAUUCUGCUAUCAUGAUAUAUCUGCCUCAAAAAUAUUUUGAGUCAUGCAAGAUUAAUUAUUUCGAUCAUUUUGUGGCAGGUAUGCAAGGUGCACACGCUCAGUUUCUGUAGUUCCUCCUGCAUAUUAUGCUCAUCUGGCAGCUUAUCGAGCUCGGUUUUACAUGGAACCUGAUGCACCGGAGAAUCCUAAAAUGCGUUGCACACGGACUGCCAAUGGAUCAUGCGUCCGCCCAUUGCCUGCAUUGAAAGAGAAGGUGAAGAAUGUAAUGUUUUACUGCUAAGAGGGAAAGCAAUGAAAAAUGACUUAGUACAGAGAAUAAGGAAGAACAAAAGAGAGUAAUAUGAGAUUAUAGCCAUUUGUACAUGAGUAUUCUUACCUUAUAUUGUAGAGAUUUCCACUAAAAAUUUUGGCCACCUGCUCAGUGGUAAUGAAAUGCAGAGUUCUCAAUUAUAUUUAUUUGAGCA
RNAcentral lists this unclassified non-coding RNA (3338 nucleotides) under Hevea brasiliensis (rubber tree). Lineage: Eukaryota; Viridiplantae; Streptophyta; Magnoliopsida; Malpighiales; Euphorbiaceae. The record is from RNAcentral.